GACGAACGCUGGCGGCGUGCUUAACACAUGCCAGUCGAACGGUAAGGCCCCUUCGGGGGUACACGAGUGGCGAACGGGUGAGUAACACGUGAGCAACCUGCCCUUGACUCUGGAAUAACAGUUGGAAACAGCUGCUAAUACUGGAUAUUCAUCGUCUCCUUCCUGGGGGGUGGUGGAAAGCUCCGGCGGUCAGGGAUGGGCUCGCGGCCUAUCAGCUUGUUGGUGAGGUAAUGGCUCACCAAGGCUUCGACGGGUAGCCGGCCUGAGAGGGCGACCGGCCACACUGGGACUGAGAUACGGCCCAGACUCCUACGGGAGGCAGCAGUGGGGAAUAUUGCACAAUGGGCGCAAGCCUGAUGCAGCAACGCCGCGUGCGGGAUGACGGCCUUCGGGUUGUAAACCGCUUUCAGUAGGGACGAAGGGUGACUGACGGUACCUACAGAGGAAGGACCGGCUAACUACGUG
RNAcentral lists this ribosomal RNA (465 nucleotides) under uncultured bacterium. RNAcentral's name for it is "partial 16S ribosomal RNA". It matches the Rfam family "Bacterial small subunit ribosomal RNA", at positions 28 to 507 of the family's 1533-position model. The record is from RNAcentral.